Molecule: ribosomal RNA, 180 nt
Filed under: uncultured Pseudomonas sp.
Lineage: Bacteria; Pseudomonadati; Pseudomonadota; Gammaproteobacteria; Pseudomonadales; Pseudomonadaceae
Description: partial 16S ribosomal RNA
Rfam family: Bacterial small subunit ribosomal RNA
Source: RNAcentral
CAGCAGUGGGGAAUAUUGGACAAUGGGCGACAGCCUGAUCCAGCCAUGCCGCGUGUGUGAAGAAGGUCUUCGGAUUGUAAAGCACUGUAAGUUGGGAGGAAGGGCAGUAAGUUAAUACCUUGCUGUUUUGACGUUACCGACAGAAUAAGCACCGGCUAACUCUGUGCCAGCAGCCGCGGU